GGAUGGGAGCCUAGUGCUUUCUUUCAGCUUGUUGAAUGCCAACCCAAGUGACUGGGUUUACAACUGGGAUUAUCAAAAGAUUGAUUCAAUGCUAGCGCAGGUAGUGGAGGACUUGGCUCCUGUAGCAAACCUGACUGUAGAAAGUCAGGUUCUCUACCAUACACCAAAGUCAUCUGUUGCUUACAAGGAUGACAAGUUGGGGGCUAACAUUUUUAGCCAGAGUGAUCUCCCUUUCUUUGUAAAUUCGAAC
Molecule: unclassified non-coding RNA, 250 nt
Filed under: Hevea brasiliensis (rubber tree)
Lineage: Eukaryota; Viridiplantae; Streptophyta; Magnoliopsida; Malpighiales; Euphorbiaceae
Source: RNAcentral